Molecule: long non-coding RNA, 900 nt
Filed under: Zostera marina
Lineage: Eukaryota; Viridiplantae; Streptophyta; Magnoliopsida; Alismatales; Zosteraceae
Description: long non-coding RNA (ZMAR_LNC001117)
Source: RNAcentral
UCGAUACCUUUUUAGUUACAACCAUUUGAAAUUGAAUCGAGUCGGGCUGGCCCAAAGCCAUUAUUCACUUUCGGCCAUAAAGAGAUUAAGAAGGACUUUUUUGCAAAUAUUGAAAACUGUUGGACUUGCAGGUAAUUAAAAGAAAAAUUCGGUGUAAAGAUGUGAAAUGGAGGGACCUGAACGCAGAAGUUUCAAUACACUCAUGGGCCAUGUGUAAUUAACUUGUUGAAGAUCUGUUUAGUUGAACCAAUAUGUGAUUUAAUAAUAAAAAAUAUAAGGUGGUUAGAAAAUGUGUAGGUGGUUAUUUUUAACUCCCAACCUAUCUUAGGUGGGUAUUUUUAACAUUUUUCCUAAAAAAAAUAUUAUAAAUGGUCAUUGAUUUCAUCUCAUUCAAUUAAUGGUUUUCACAUCUUUCAAAAAGUCUUGAGAAAAUAACUGUAAAACAAUUACUACUAUUUACUCAUUUCCCCAAACUAAAACCUAAUUUCUCGCCGCCCGUCUACUUCCAGCGGCACCUCACCUUGUCGCCCACAACAAAGUUUAUAGGCCCAACCAAAUUAAUUUGAUUUAAUCGUGGAGCAAAUCCGAUCGUGUUUAGGAAAAUUAAAACACUAGCUACAUUUACAACAUUUCGAAAUUCCGUUGAGUUUAUGUAUAUAUUUUUUGUAAAUAAUGAAUUAUGUAGGCGUGAUUAAAAAUAAUUAUAGAUUUAAUUAUGCAAAAUCUCAUACGAUUAGCGUGAUCAGGAUUCCUAACAGGUUUGGGUGUGGAUCUCUUCAUUCUUAAUUUAAAAAAAAAGAAUUUUUAGUUUUAUUAAAAAAAAAUUGAAUAAUAGUAAAUCUAGAGUUUUAGACUUACACACUUAGUGAAUAAUGAAGACGAUUAGAGAUCGGAGUAUCG